UCCGUAGGGGGCUAGCGUUGUCCGGAAUCAUUGGGCGUAAAGCGCGUGUAGGCGGUCCGGUAAGUCCGCUGUGAAAGUCGAGGGCUCAACCCUCGAAUGCCGGUGGAUACUGUCGGGCUUGAGUACGGGAGAGGCGAGUGGAAUUCCUGGUGUAGCGGUGAAAUGCGCAGAUAUCAGGAGGAACACCGAUUGCGAAGGCAGCUCGCUGGAACGUUACUGACGCUGAGACGCGAAAGCGUGGGGAGCAAACAGG
This 253-nucleotide ribosomal RNA is filed under the name uncultured bacterium. RNAcentral describes it as "partial 16S ribosomal RNA". It matches the Rfam family "Bacterial small subunit ribosomal RNA", at positions 524 to 776 of the family's 1533-position model. The record is from RNAcentral.